Molecule: long non-coding RNA, 4446 nt
Organism: Anopheles gambiae (African malaria mosquito)
Lineage: Eukaryota; Metazoa; Arthropoda; Insecta; Diptera; Culicidae
Exons: 3
Source: RefSeq, a predicted model, not a curated record
GCAAGCUCCCUUCUCGACACAACAGAGCAAAACGACGGCACUCCGGAAAUUUUCUUCAUUUCCCCCAAGGGAGCAGAGAGGGAAUGAAUAAAUCGUACGCCAGAGUUUUCAUGGUCAGAACGCCCUAAGGGGCCAGUCCUUAGCAAAACGUCUCUUUCUCUCUGGUUUCUUCAUGUUUGGGGCCCACCCAGAAGACAAUGUGUCACAACCAUGUUAAUUGAUUUAUUUCAUUGCCGUUAUGAAGGGGGAGAAGGAUGCGCAUCUCGAUACGAGUUGAGUGCAUAUUGUUUCCCCCACCCAAAGGUUAUUUUCGAACUGUCCCCAAAAAUUCCCUAAAACGGUACAACAACUAAUUAAGCAAAGUUUUGUUUUGUUUAAUCAAACUAAAACCCUUUUUAAGUGACAAAAAAGGCAUGUUAACGCGUUGUUUUCAUUUCAUAUUAUCCUGCUCGGUAAGGAUACGCACGAAACCGUCGGUGUCUCCUCGGUGUCCGUCUCGCUCGUUAUCAAUUCGAAGCAACACUUUCCCCUACCCAAAAUAGGGGUUUCGGGUCCCAAAAAAACAAGUUAACACGCUCUGCUGUUCACCGCCGCUAAUUAGAAAGUAUCUAAACUGUUUCCAGAGCAGCAACGACAGCAGCACCAGCAGGAAAUGGGGUUUUGACACCCAACGGUACAUUAAAGUCGCACCAUUUAUCCAUUACCACCACCACCAUCACCGCGCACAGCGUCACCAGGAUGUUUUUUUGCUGUUGUUUCUGGACAAAACAGGGUGUGGAUACUUGAACCCCACGCACACACAGGUUGGAUGAACUUUUGAUAGUGAAUGUCCUGUCUAUCCGGUCGCUUGAGCUUCAAAUUUGUCGGUGGAAAUUAUCAUAUCUUCCUGGAAAAGGGGAAGGAAAUGUUGCGUGUCUAGGGUUCACUUGAGCAUGAAAUGUUUUCUUCCACGCGUCAAAUUCUACCUUCCAGGACCAUCGAUCAGAGUUGGCGGUGGCGGACUUUGCUCCCUGCCGAUCCUAGCGUGCCGUGUUGUUGGUGGAGGGCGAGAGACAUAAACUAACCUCAAAAAGGGAAGCAAAAAAACUCACACCCAUACACGCGGGCAAACUAACAAACCGCAGCACUUGGUUACGCGUCUGCGUGGCAAAUCGUACGGUUAAAAGCGUGUCUAGUCCGGAUGUCGCCAUUACUUUUCCCGGACGACAGGUAAGCCACCACACUACAGUGAAGGAGUUGGCUGCGCGAGGUCCUUCAAUCAGGGGUUUUGUUAGUUUAUCCGUAGAAACGUGUACUACUAAGUCGGAAAUCCAAUCAAUUCAACGCUCUGGACAAACCUUCCACACUCUACACUCUAUGUAAAUUUGGGACUAUUUGCCUGACUGGCUGGAUACACACACUCGGAGCCUCCUUUUCGACGUCGUCUCGUCCUCGUGUGUGGCUGUCAUAAAAUGGCAAAAAGGCACCAAAAUGAUAAUAAACCUUUCUGAAAUAUUGUACGGCAAGGGCAAUAUAUGUUGAUCUAUUCUCCAUCCCCCGCCAAAAACAAAACACAACAUUCGGGAACGAAAAUUUAUACACACUUUCUACUCCCAUCCAGCCCAAAAGUCCAUAAACCUCCAGGACCGCUCAGCGACGGUCACGGUCACCGAUAUUGUUAUUACAAGGCCGACGAGGAGGAGGAGGACGAAGUUUCAACAUUUUUGUUGUUUUAUUCUCUCCCUGUCUGUCUGACCAUAAAACGAUUACACACAACAUAAAGCAGCACACAUUUGAAUUUCGGGUUUAUUUGGAUUGGUUUCAUAUUUUUCCUUCGUAACAAGCCGGAGGGGAAGAGAGGGAGAGUUUGUAUGUGUGUGUGUGAGUAGAACAUAAACAGGACCUUCUUUUAAAUGUCCUUUGCAGUAUUACCACAAAAAAUGCACCGAUUUUGAUCGAAAUAUUGCUCCUCUUCUCUAUCCGUUACUGCCGUUGCGUUUGGUUGAUUUUUGCGACCCCUGCGGUAGAAAAAAAGUGGUGCCCAAGGGCCAUGACGAUGUUUAUGACAGCAAUUGACAGUGACGCCAGGACGACGAAUGCGGUUUUGCAUCGCUUAAUUCACCUCGAACACAGGGGUGGAGGUAUGAAAAAUGGAUAAUUUAUCCUUCACUAGCCGGCCACUGGUGGGGUGUCCUCGGGGUGAAAGAGCACGGAAGGAAGGGAGAGUCCUCUUCUCUCCUCUUCAAAGUGCAACUUCCAAUUAACUAUCUAUUGUGCGUGGCGGAUGCAACCAUUUUUUUGCCUACUUCAUGCUGAUUUGGCCACUGUGUGUACCUACCCUCACAACAAUCGGUGCACCGGUGAAGGUAAGUGAUGUAGCAGUUAAACUAAUGAUCCUUUUCUACGCCAUACGACGUUGUGAAUGCACAAUUUCUAGCUGCAUUACUGUAUAUUUUCCUUUCUUUUUUUUCAUUCGUUGUAGGGUCAUAACGGAAAUGUCAACAAAAAAAAAGAGAGGAAACCCGUACCGAGAAGCCAGCAAAAUAAACAUUCCGCAAUCGGGGAAUAAUAAUAAUCGUCCGCAGAGUGUACGAAAGCGAACUCAAAUAGGACGAAAUAGAUAACGGAGCAAUGGGAAAAUCAUGGGUACGAUUGGGCAAAUAAAAAUAACGUUCAGUGCGUUUUACCCUGUCGGAACAGAGACCAGAGGCCCAAAAAACCAUCCGAAAACACACGGAAAUGGGCUUUCUUCACCUGGAAUUUCCAAUUUCGUUACGACGCGUCGGCAGUUUCCUUUUAAAAAAUACCCCAAAAAAUCGAUCCCUGCUCUAUAGCUGGGGCAUUAAGGACGGGUAACUGUCGGGGCGGAUGCAUUCGAUCCUAAAAUAAUAUUUAUACAAUUCCGCAAAAAAGGGGGAACAUAUUUCGGGUCGAUCGCGUCCUGAUCGGCAUAUGUGAGCUUUGAACAUGCAAUCGCAUGAAGAACACGUUUGGACAAAUAAUAGUAAUAAUAACAGUUGCCGCAACGGUCCUCUCUACAUUCACCCUACCCCUUCGAUGCUAAAGGGCGUGUCUAAUGUCGCAUAGGAACCGUCUGUCCAAUACAUACAUAUCUUCCAUCUGUUUGCGAUCGACGAUCUCCGUUUUCGCGACAUGCUUGUUGAAGUUGUCGCCAUAUUUUCAUCAUUAUGGACCAAAUUUAUUAGCUCACUACUAUGCAAAACACACACACAAAGGGUAACGAGAAUAGGAGAAUCCUUUUUUUAUUGCUGCAGCGAAUCCAAUCAUCCAUUAUGGCAACUACUGUGAAAAAGGGAAGCUGCUGUGCGUGAGCGUUGCUAGCCCGUGAGUGGAUUACGCAUUGUAUUAUGCAGUUGUGUGCAUCGCGGAAAGGGAGAAAAAGGGUGAUAAAAAGGAGUACUUUCCCGUGGUAGGUGAAGUGGGAGAGGAGGGAACCAUAUUUUUACCAGCCUGCUAGAUCCCGCUGUUCUCUGCUCAGCACCCCUUUUUCCAGCUUCUCUUGACGCAGCGGUUUAUUGCAGUGAACAAUCAAAGCAGGCGCAGAGAAGUUCCCCUAGUUCCUCUUCACGGAGGAUCAUUUAGCCAGCCGUCAGUAGCUUCAGCAAAUCAUUUCUCAAUUCUUUUGGCCCUGUCCCCGUGUGCCGCGGCAUCGGUCGAUACCACCAGCCACUACUGCAACCAGUUGUCGAUGCUCAUCCAACUCACUUCCGCUUCCAAUCUCAAAAACGUGCUGGAAAAGCCAAGAGAGCUGUCUGUGUGUGAAGGGAUUAAAGGUCUCACACAUGCGGAAUUGCCCGUAAGAGUGCGUCCCUGGAGGAGUGUCAACUGCACGCGGGAAAAGAACGUCACAAAGAAACGGGGUAGAACACUUGAGAAGGAACCAGCAACCCUCCGUUUUGCUAAGACCUUCCUCCUCCUUGGGCUAUAGAAGGAAUCCGGAUUCAUGAAGUUCACACUUGGCCCAUCCUUUUUGUAAAGCGAAACUGGCGCUCCAGGCUAGCGAGAGUAGAAGGGGAGGAUCCUCGUUGUGCGAUCCUUGCGCGACGGACGGGACCAACCGUCGCAGGGUACUUGAUCGUCCCCUGUAACCGGUGAAACUGGGGGCAAGUAUAUUAGUUACACGAUAAUUGGCAUUCAAUUGUCCAGACUGUGCAAGGGAUUUAACAUUCACACAUACAGAAAGGGCCCAGGCCUGAGGGAUUGAUGAAACCCCCUUGUAACUGGUAGCAAUUCCGUACCUGGCAUGAUCCAUUUCUGUUAACCAUUCAACUUUUUUUGUAUGCAGACCAACAUCGCUUGACUGUUUGAGGUUAGGAAACCCUCUCUCGGCUCUCCCAUCGUGACCGUUUGGACGCAAUUAUCUACACAUUCAAUGUCAAUCAUACGUAACGAAUCACGGCAGGGCAGCAUCAUGCACUUCUCGAGAGCUUUCCGGUCGGUUGGUCG